This 414-nucleotide ribosomal RNA is filed under the name uncultured bacterium. Its description in RNAcentral is "bacterial SSU rRNA". It matches the Rfam family "Bacterial small subunit ribosomal RNA", at positions 356 to 775 of the family's 1533-position model. The record is from RNAcentral.
GAGGAAUUUUGCGCAAUGGGGGAAACCCUGACGCAGCGACGCCGCGUGGAGGAUGACGGCCUUCGGGUUGUAAACUCCUGUCAGAGGUGAAGAAUCCCCGCAAGGGGUUGACGGUAACCUCAAAGGAAGCCCCGGCUAACUACGUGCCAGCAGCCGCGGUAAGACGUAGGGGGCAAACGUUACUCGGAAUUACUGGGCGUAAAGGGUGUGUAGGCGGCUGGGUAAGUCAAAGAUGAAAUCCCGAGGCUCAACUUCGGAAUUGUCUUUGAAACUGCCCGGCUUGAGGAUAGUCGAGGAGAAUGGAAUUCCCGGUGGAGCGGUGAAAUGCGUAGAUAUCGGGAGGAACACCCGAGGCGUAAGCGAUUCUCUAUCCUAUUCCUGACGCUGAAACACGAAAGCUAGGGGAGCGAACGG